UGCCCAGCAGCUCCUAUCCCUACCUCCACGUGGUACCAGGCGGAAACUAUGAGCAACCUUAGGGAAGAUCGGGUAACCAACCCCUGUGGAAACUAUGGUCGUAGGCUGACAGGGAAGG
Molecule: non-coding RNA, 118 nt
Organism: Aedes albopictus (Asian tiger mosquito)
Lineage: Eukaryota; Metazoa; Arthropoda; Insecta; Diptera; Culicidae
Source: Rfam